RNAcentral lists this ribosomal RNA (427 nucleotides) under uncultured bacterium. RNAcentral's name for it is "bacterial SSU rRNA". It matches the Rfam family "Bacterial small subunit ribosomal RNA", at positions 355 to 774 of the family's 1533-position model. The record is from RNAcentral.
UGGGGAAUAUUGGACAAUGGGCGAAAGCCUGAUCCAGCCAUGCCGCGUGUGUGAAGAAGGUCUUCGGAUUGUAAAGCACUUUAAGUUGGGAGGAAGAGCAGUUACCUAAUACGUGAUUGUUUUGACGUUACCGACAGAAUAAGCACCGGCUAACUCUGUGCCAGCAGCCGCGGUAAUACAGAGGGUGCAAGCGUUAAUCGGAAUUACUGGGCGUAAAGCGCGCGUAGGUGGUUAGUUAAGUUGGAUGUGAAAUCCCCGGGCUCAACGUGGGAACUGCUUUCAAAACUGACUGACUAAAGUAUUGUAGGUGGUUGUGGAAUUUCCGUUGUAGCGGUGAAGUGCGUAGAUAUAGGAAGGAACACCUGUGGCGAGGGCGACCACCGGGACUGAUACUGACACUGAGGUGCGAAAGCGUGGGGAGCAAACA